RNAcentral lists this ribosomal RNA (494 nucleotides) under uncultured bacterium. RNAcentral describes it as "partial 16S ribosomal RNA". It matches the Rfam family "Bacterial small subunit ribosomal RNA", at positions 28 to 507 of the family's 1533-position model. The record is from RNAcentral.
GACGAACGCUGGCGGCGUGCUUAACACAUGCAAGUCGAACGGAAAGGCCUGCUUUCCCUUGUGGAUUGCGGGUACUCGAGUGGCGAACGGGUGAGUAACACGUGAGUGAUCUGCCCCCAACUUGGGUAUAAGCCUGGGAAACUGGGUCUAAUUCCCGAUAGGACUGCAGGGUGGUGCCUGUGGUGGAAAACGAUUUUCUAGUGGUUGGGGAUGAGCUCGCGGCCUAUCAGCUUGUUGGUGGGGUAAUGGCCUACCAAGGCGGCGACGGGUAGCCGGCCUGGGAGGGGGGACGGGCACAUUGGGACUGAGAAACGACCCAGACGCCGACGGGAGGCAGCAGUGGGGAAGAGUGGACGAUGGGCGGAAGCCUGAUGCAGCGACGCCGCGUGGAGGAUGCCGGGCUUCGGGUGGUAAGCUGGUUUCGAGCGCGAGGAAGCCACCUGGUUGGAAGGGUGGUGACGGUAGUGGUAGAAGAAGCACCGGCUAACUACGUG